Molecule: ribosomal RNA, 870 nt
Filed under: Chlorococcum oleofaciens
Lineage: Eukaryota; Viridiplantae; Chlorophyta; Chlorophyceae; Chlamydomonadales; Chlorococcaceae
Description: eukaryotic LSU rRNA
Rfam family: Eukaryotic large subunit ribosomal RNA
Source: RNAcentral
AGCGGAGGAAAAGAAACUAACAAGGAUUCCUCCAUASUAACKGCGAGUGAAACGGGAAAAGCCCAACUUGAAAAUCUCCCUUUGGAGAAUUGUAGUCUAUAGAAGCGUCCUCUGUGGCGGCCCGAGCCCAAGUCCGCUGGAAAGCGGCGUCAGAGAGGGUGAGAACCCCGUCGGCUUUCGGCUUAGCUACUCCACGAGGUGCUUUCCACGAGUCGGGUUGUUUGGGAAUGCAGCCCAAAAUUGGAGGUAAAUCCCUUCUAAGGCUAAAUACUGGCGAGAGACCGAUAGCGAACAAGUACCGUGAGGGAAAGAUGAAAAGAACUUUGAAAAGAGAGUUAAAAAGUGCUUGAAAUUGUUGAGAGGGAAGCGAUUGGAGGGUGUGAGUGCGUCUAGGCUUAUGCAUCUCUAACGAGCUGCUGUAUGUGCUAGAUGCUGGUCAGCAUGGGUUAGCCGGGCGGGAUAACAGCAUGGGUUGAUACCGUGUCUAUGCCGUCUGGUUGAUCAAGGUGUGAUUGGCGCUUAGUCCUUCGGGAACUGCGUCAACAAGAUGCUGGCAGAAGCCCUUCAAUCGGCCCGUCUUGAAACACGGACCAAGGAGUCUAACAUGUAUGCGAGUUGGUGGGUGGAAAACCCAUGAAGCGCAAGUAACCUGACUGGUGGGAUGGCCUGUGCCUGCACCAUCGACCGACCAUGAUCUUCUGUGAAAGGUUUGAGUGCGAGCAUACCUGUUGGGACCCGAAAGAUGGUGAACUAUGCCUGAGCAGGGUGAAGCCAGAGGAAACUCUGGUGGAGGCUCGUAGAUGUGCUGACGUGCAAAUCGCUUUUCGGACKUGGGUAGUAGGGGCGAAAGACUAAUCGAACCUUCUAGUA